This 465-nucleotide long non-coding RNA is filed under the name Nicotiana benthamiana. Its description in RNAcentral is "long non-coding RNA (NBEN_LNC013642)". The record is from RNAcentral. Lineage: Eukaryota; Viridiplantae; Streptophyta; Magnoliopsida; Solanales; Solanaceae.
ACCCCCCUCCCCCGUUCUACUGCGCCGCCUUCAUCUUCUUCAUUUGUUCCCUCACGCUAGUCCCGAUCCCCAUCGUUCCCCCUUCGACCACCCAAACAUCCAAUCGACCAGCUCCAAACGACCCUCAAUGACCAUCUCCGCCGCCUCCGCACACAACGUCACGCCGAGCUCCGCUCGUUUCCGGUCGUCAAACCAUCGAUGAAGAUUUCUAGCCGUUUCCAUGGUCACGCCGAGCUCCACGACCUCUCUUGCUUUCCAACUCUCGCAUUGUCUUGAUUUGGUCUAAUGAUUUUAUUCUUGUUCUGUUUUGGUCAUCACUUACUGUAUUGCCUUGAGUCCGGCUGGCUUAUUGUGUCAAUUUGAUUUUCUGCCUAUGUUGCUCGAACUCUACGAAAAUAUUAUCUCAUUUCUAUUGAAUUCGUCAAAAAAUGUACUACUCUUUUUGGAGUAUCCGACAUAUAUCCG